GUGGGGAAUUUUGGACAAUGGGGGCAACCCUGAUCCAGCCAUCCCGCGUGUGCGAUGAAGGCCUUCGGGUUGUAAAGCACUUUUGGCAGGAAAGAAAUCGCACGGGAUAAUACCUCGUGUGGAUGACGGUACCUGCAGAAUAAGCACCGGCUAACUACGUGCCAGCAGCCGCGGUAAUACGUAGGGUGCAAGCGUUAAUCGGAAUUACUGGGCGUAAAGCGUGCGCAGGCGGUUCGGAAAGAAAGAUGUGAAAUCCCAGGGCUUAACCUUGGAACUGCAUUUUUAACUACCGGGCUAGAGUGUGUCAGAGGGGGGUGGAAUUCCGCGUGUAGCAGUGAAAUGCGUAGAUAUGCGGAGGAACACCGAUGGCGAAGGCAGCCCCCUGGGAUAACACUGACGCUCAUGCACGAAAGCGUGGGGAGCAAACAGGAUUAGAUACCCUAGUAGUCC
RNAcentral lists this ribosomal RNA (450 nucleotides) under uncultured bacterium. Its description in RNAcentral is "partial 16S ribosomal RNA". It matches the Rfam family "Bacterial small subunit ribosomal RNA", at positions 354 to 796 of the family's 1533-position model. The record is from RNAcentral.